This is a long non-coding RNA of Esox lucius (northern pike), 744 nucleotides long. RefSeq lists it as uncharacterized. NCBI's taxonomy places the organism in Eukaryota, Metazoa, Chordata, Actinopteri, Esociformes, Esocidae. The transcript has 4 exons. The record is from RefSeq and is a predicted model, not a curated record.
UCUGAUGAAGCCGUUUGAAUUUUAAUUUGAAUGAUUGGUCAAUAUGGCUGUCAUCCAGGAAACAGGCCAAUGAGCACUGAGCGCGCCUUCAUUUGAAAGUAGUUUCGUCAGUUUGAAUGCUGCAGGACUUCAGCGCUACUCUGUCGCUUCACUCCUAAUGAAUUACGUUUACAUCUGCAUGCCAAAUUAUUAUUUGAGUGAAUAUGAGUUGUGGGAUUUCAACAGAGAACAAAAAUGGGAACAUGGACACAGUGGAAGAGUCUGGAUCUGUUUGCUCUCCUAGCAUGAACUUCAUGUUAUAACGUUAUCCUGGCGAUAUCGGAGAGAUGCUCAUCAAGGCAAGGUGAUGAUUGCCAGAGGGAAAAACAUUUUGGAAAAGUCUCCUGCCACAAGGUCUUAGGAGCCAGAGCAGAUCCAGACGAUUACAGCUCAUUUGGAAGAAGUCUGAUCUUUCUGCUGUGUUGCACCUCUGUUACAGAUUAAUUGACCUUUUGUGGUAUGUUUUAAUUUUAGGAUUCUUAAAUGUUAUCAGAACUACCUUAUACAGAGCCCCCAAGGGUUAGGAAAAUGAAGAAGACCACAACUCCCUCAGCUCAACAGCACAAUUUGUUGCUUCCUCCAUCCAUUUCAAAGGGGAAAUCUUGACCUCAUUUUGAUAGAAAUGCUCACAGACACACAUUACACAUGGAGAAGUACCAUUUUUAGUUUUUCAGUUCCUCCCGGGGGGCUCUAAAGAACUGUUUG